RNAcentral lists this long non-coding RNA (4616 nucleotides) under Homo sapiens (human). RNAcentral describes it as "HSALNT0165945". The stretch from base 2009 to 2086 matches the Rfam family "Small nucleolar RNA SNORD74". Lineage: Eukaryota; Metazoa; Chordata; Mammalia; Primates; Hominidae. The record is from RNAcentral.
AUUGCUUGAACCCAGGAGGCAGAAGUUGCAGCGAGCCAAGACCACAUCAGUGCACUCUAGCCUGGGAGACAGAGCAAGACUCUGUCUCAAAAAAAAUACAAUGAACAAGGUAAAAAUACCAGCACAUGCAAAGCUCUGAGGUCAGAAACACUCCAGUUCCUCUCCACCCUAAUCACUCUGCAGGAGAUAAAGAGGUUGGAAAAAACCAGGUCAUUCCCAGUGUUGUACAAGCUUGGACAUUCUUGGAAAUGCCAGGAGAAGUUAUUAGGAUCUUUAGGGGAAAGGACUGACAUGGUCUGAUCGAUGCUUCAAGUUUAUUAGGACUGCUAUCUGAAGAAUGGGGUUGAAAGAAAAAAGGAGAAGCAAGGGCCAAUUAGGAAGGUUUGUCAGUAAUCCCAGUAAGAAAUUAUAGCAGUUUGAAUUAAGAGAGAAAGACUAAAGUUAUACUUUGGAAUAAGAAUCUUAGAUUAAAUGGAUUGGAUUAAAUGUGGUGGAGAGAAGGUUGUUAAAUAAGGAGAAAAAAAUAUUAGGCCUUUGGCUUGAACAACCAGGUGGACGGUGCUGCUGUUUACUGAGAUGUGAAAGACUAGGGGAAGAACAGGGUUAGGGCUGAAAAUCAAGAAUUCAGUUUUGGACAUGUUAAGCUUGAGAUGCAUGUGAAAAAUAGAUAACAUGGAGACUCUGUGGAGAAAUAGUAGAUGGAAAUAGAAACUUGAGAAGUCAUCAGGAUACAGAGGUAUUUAACAUGAAUGGAUUGGAGCACCUUGGGUAGAAGUAUAGAGGGAGAUGAGUAGGUAGCCAAACACCACAACCUAAGGGACUCCAAAGUUUAGACAUGUAGUAGAGAAGGAAGAGAUGUAAGGAGGACCCAAAGACUGUGGAGUCACAGAAGCCAAGAAAGAAAGGUGUUUCAAGAACAGUGGUCGACUUUCAUUUAAAAUGGCAAAAUGAAGAUACUUCUACACACUUCUCUCAGAAAUCUCCUUCAAACAACAAAGAGAAUGAGAACAGAAACACAAAUUCCAACUUUAAUGAAUGCUAGAGACAUUUGUAGCCAACAAAAAUAUGAAGAUGAAAAGAGGUGGAAGGAUAGUAACUACCUAUAGGAACAGUAGAAAGUGAAACAAGUGCUUGCAGAGAGAUACUGAUGAGAAGAAAGUUGAUUGACUCUGCCUAACCCUGAAAAGACACAGAAAAUGGAGUUAUCCAGUACUAUAAAAAAGGGAGAAAAAUGGAAAAUUGAGCCUUGGGAUUUUGGAUCUCUUGCGCCACAAUAUGAAUGGACAACCAAGUAUUUCCAGACAUUUACAGUAAUAUAAAAAUAGAGAUUCAAACAAACUGUAAAAAGGAACUUGAAGAGGAAAAAAAGUAUAAAAGCUGAAGAACUCUUGAAAUUUAAAACACUGUAAUUACUCCUCUCAGAAUGAUAAGAAUAUAUUGUGUGUAUAAAUCAGCAACAGGAAGCCACAUAAAAGAAAAGUUCGGCCAGGCACAGAGGCUCACACCUGUAAUCCCAACAAGCGUUGGGAGGCGAGGCAGACAGAUCAUGAGGUCAAGAGAUUGAGACCAUCCUGGCCAACAUGGUGAAACCCCGUCUCUACUAAAAAAUACAAAAAUAAGCUGGGCAUGGUGGUGCACACCUGUAGUCCCAGCUGCUCGGAAGGCUGAAGCAGGAGAAUCGCUCAAACCCGGGAGGCAGAGGUUGCAGUGAGUCGAGAUCACACCACUGCACUCCAUCCUAGCAACAGAGUGAGACUCUGUCUCAAAAAAAAAAAAAAAGAAAAAGAAAAAGAAAAAAAAAGACAGAAAAAUUCAGAGAACAAGAAAGAGAUCUUGGAAAUAAAAAUACAACUGCAAUGACUUUUUAAAAAUCAAUAGAGCAAUUGGAAGAUACAAACCAAGAAAAUCCCUCACUUUUCUUUGAAAUUAAGGACUUGUUAAUAAUAAUACAGAAAACUUCCUCCCAGAAUUUAGAAAAAAAAGAGAAAGCUUUUUGCAAUCAAAUUAUCAGUCCAGCCUCUGAUGAAGCCUAUGUUAGUAGGCACAUCUGAGUGGUAAUGAAUGCCAGCAGCUCUGAUGAAAAAAACAGGAUCAAUCCAGAAGAUGAGUUCCAGAAAGGAAGAAGAACAGAGAAAAUAAUGGGAGGGAAAUUAUUUUAUAUACACACACUUAAUUCCCAGAAUUAAAAGACAUAAAACUAUAAAUUAAAAGGAUCCACAAUUACACACAAUGAAUAUUAAAAGAUCCCUAGGACACAUUAUCAUAAAAUUUUAGAACAUCAAAAAUGAAAAGAAGAUCCUAAAAGCUUCCAGACAGAAAAACAGGUCCCAUAGAAAUGACAGAAAUCCAAAUGGUAUUUGGCUUUACAACAGCUAUAUCAGAGGUGGCAGCAUAGGGGAAAGGUUGGAAACCUGGCUGCUGGGUUUGAAUCCUGACUCUAUACUCUGUGAGUAAUGAUAGUGUUGUUAUGAGGAUAAGGUAGGUUCGUAUUUAUAAGCGUGCAGAACAGUGUCUGGUACCUAAUAUUUGCGAUUUAAGUAUUUUCUAAAUAUACCUAGGGAAGAUAAAUUGAACACGUAUUCUAAAUUCUGAGGGUAAAUGAGUAAAUGAGCUGCCACUUGCAAGUCAGUACCUAACUAAAACUCUUAAAUAGGUAUAAGAAUAGAAAAAAACAUCUUUUUUUUUUUUUAGGCAGAGUCUCUUUCACCCAGGCUAGAGUGCAGUGGUGCGAUCUCGGCUCACUGCAACCUCCACCUCCCAGGAUUAAGCAAUUCUCAUGCCUCAGCCUUCCUAGUAACUGGGAUUACAGGUGCUCGCCUGUAAUUAGCACCAGCUAAUUUUUGUAUUUUUAGUAGAGAUGGGGUUUCGCCAUGUUGGCCAUGCUGGUCUUGAACUCCUGACCUCAGGUGAUCCACCCACCUUGGCCUCCCAAAGUGCUGGGAUUACAGGAAUUAGAAAAAAAAAAAAAAAAAAAAAACAUAUUUUCAGGCAUGCAAAGUCACCCCCAAAAUUAACUUCCUCUGCACCUUUUCUCAGGAAGCUCCAGAAUUAUAAGCAUCACUGAAAAUAGGGAUUAAACUAAGAAAGAGGAUACAAUAGGCAGGAAAUAGGGAACCUAACACAGGAGAAAAGCAAAGGAAAGUCCCAGAAUGACAGCUGGAUAGCAGGCCUAGAGGGUAAUCAGUGAAGAUCACAGGAUGGUCUUCAGAAAAAUAAAUGAAAUGGAUAGAUUCCUGCCAGAUUUGACCAUGUCAGACAUCAUACUGAAAGAAGGAAGAAAAAUUAGCAAAGGCUGCAAGGUACAAGGAAAUGAACAAAUGAAAAUAAAUCAGGCAAUUACUAUGUACAGGAAAAACAGAAAGUUGAAUAAGAAAAAGAAACAAUCAGUACACUGCUUGGCCAAGCUGACAGCAGUAUUAAUUUAGUCCAUUAAUAAAAAUAUUUAAUAGUGAUUUAAGUAGAAACAGUGAUAUAACUAUUCCAGAGGAUUAAAAAGGGAUAAGAGUUGGGGCUUGGGAGAUAUGUGUGCUAAACAGCAACUACCAAAAUGAGAAGCCAAUAUAAUCUCUAAAGUUAAAAAGCAAAGAGAGUAUUGACAUAUUAUUUAGAAAUAUGGAGGUAAACACAGGACUGGAAUACUUACCCUAAAUAGUGUGUAUGUAUUCUCCUGAGCCUCCUUAUUAAUCCUAGGCACCACUUAAAAAUCGCCUCUUAGAUCCAUUUGGAGGGCUGAUGAUGUAUGGUCUUCUCAUAACUGUUCUAAAAGAAAUCUAAAGAAUAUUGGAGAGAGCUGAGGCCAGGCCUGCCUGGGAUCAGGUGAGGAAGAGGAAAUAAUCUUUAUUAUUUGACUUCUAUAUUUCACCCUGUCUCAUAGGAAGGUAGAUUCCCAUGUCCAUUGCUCUUUGGUUUGAUAGUCGCUCUUGGUACACCCACCAUUUGAUACAGAUUCCCUUUCUCUUGGUGGGAAAGUGAGCACUGAUAGUUCUGUUUGGGAAAGUCCUUCUUUUCCUUGAAGUGAAGCCCUAAGUUACUGAGAAGACGAAUCAAAGAAAAUACUCAAUUUACUGUUUGUUACUAUAAGCUGUACUCUUUUUUGUUUUGCUGUUUUGUUUUGUUUUGAGACAGAAUCUCGCUCUGUCGCCCAGGCUGGAGUACAGUGGCGCGAUCUCGGCUCACUGCAACCUCCGCCUCCCGGGUUCAAGCGAUUCUCCAGCCUCAGCCUCCCGAGUAGCUGGGACUACAGACGUGCGCCACUACGCCUAGCUAAUGUUUGUAUUUUUAGUAGAGACGGGGUUUCACCAUGUUGGUUGGCCAGGAUGGUCUCGAUCUCUUGACCUCGUGAUCUGCCCGCCUUGGCCUCCCAAAGUGCUGGGAUUAGAGGCGAGAGCCACCGCGCCCGGCCCAGUAUAAGCUAUGCUCUUACAGCCACAUCUCCCACUCUGCCUCAGCCUCUCUCUAAAUUAAGGGGUUCCAGUUAGGUUUCCAGGAUUUCCUUUCUCUGUCUCUUCAGUCCGGGCUCAUUGCACCAUAACUAAUAGAAAUUCUUUGAAUUUUGUGGAAUGUGGUUGGCAACAUUCCCUGGUUUCAAAACAAAUUAGUUGGGAGCAUUUUGUUUU